AUACGUAGGUGGCAAGCGUUGUCCGGAUUUACUGGGCGUAAAGGGAGCGUAGGCGGACUUUUAAGUGAGAUGUGAAAUACCCGGGCUCAACUUGGGUGCUGCAUUUCAAACUGGAAGUCUAGAGUGCAGGAGAGGAGAAUGGAAUUCCUAGUGUAGCGGUGAAAUGCGUAGAGAUUAGGAAGAACACCAGUGGCGAAGGCGAUUCUCUGGACUGUAACUGACGCUGAGGCUACGAAAGCGUGGGGAGC
Molecule: ribosomal RNA, 248 nt
Filed under: uncultured bacterium
Lineage: Bacteria
Description: partial 16S ribosomal RNA
Rfam family: Bacterial small subunit ribosomal RNA
Source: RNAcentral